Pipra filicauda (Wire-tailed manakin) is the source of this 638-nucleotide long non-coding RNA. RefSeq lists it as uncharacterized. The record is from RefSeq and is a predicted model, not a curated record. Lineage: Eukaryota; Metazoa; Chordata; Aves; Passeriformes; Pipridae. The transcript is spliced from 3 exons.
UGAUGAUUAGAAGCACUGCUGACAUCUAUUUCCCAGUUACCUUUUGCUGUUUUCACUCAGUAGCUGGUACCUGUAGACACCGCUUGGAGACCCCAUGAGCCAAAGGAGCAAGAAGAUGUUUUCCAGUCUGCCCAGCUGCAGCAAAGUGAUUUUUUCUGGAGGAAGAAGUCAGUCCAAGGUUUUGAUGCAGCCUAAAUGGAGGACCUACAGUCACUGGUUCUACCUGUGCACGUCCCAGUUCACUCCCAGGGCUCAGCAAAGCCUCCCUCACUUCAGAGCUGGGAAAAGAUGCUACUGUUCUAUUAAAGCUAGAAAGAGCAGCUUGUAGUAGAAACUGCAGGAAAAAAGCUUUCUCUUCUCCCCCCUCCCCCCCAUCAUCCACCCCGUGGGUGCUGCUGCUCACCCAUGUUUUCCCAAGCGUUUUCUCUACCUUAUUUUCAUGGAGUCAAGGAAGCAACUGGCUCUUUGGGAUUUACAUGCCUUUGAGGUAAAGGCAGAGCAGAUUUGAGAGAUGACUCUUCUCUGCUACCUGCUUCGUGGCUGGCCCUACAAACCAUGGGAGAGGCAUUUUGCAGCUCAAACUUUGCAGCUUGUUCACACUGCUGGCUGAGCUGACACCUUUCCUUUGAAAUGGAGAA